AGGUGGUGAGUCCUCCAAUAAAGGCAAGGAAAUUGCAUCCGAGGACCAGUAGACAGAGUGCUUCGAAAGUCUGCAUUCUAGACAUUGUGAGUAAACUUAUUAUCGUCUUAAUUAUCUAGAGUAGUUUUAUACAACUAUGUGAUUUUAUGAAAAAUGGGUUUAAAUGGUAAAUUGUUAUGUUUUAAGGGAAAUUGUGAUUUUAUAAAAUGAUUUUAUAAAUUUUCUGAAAAAUCGAAUAUUGGUUUUGAAAAUAGAGUAAUUGGAGACUGCUAGUUUGUGUUGCAAAUUUAUGGUUCUGAAUUGAAUGGCUUAUGACAAUAAAUGAGCAUGAAUGGCUAAACUGAUUUUGGUGUUAUAAUUAUUUAUACUGUGUAUUCAGCCUUGAGAGGCUAGGUUGUGAUAAAUUGCCAUGACAUGCUAGAAUGAAUUUUAUUGAUUGGUGGAUUAUAUAUUAAUUAUUUACUGCAGAGGGGGUUCCGUGGACCAGCCUAUUAGAGGGGCACGGUAAACUCCAUUAUAUUAUUACCUCGAACGGAGAGGCGCGUAGGGUAUCUCCUGGGGUAUAGCUUAGGGUUCACUUCACGCCAAACCACCACGUGAAGGGGAACUCAGCCAACGCCAAGGAACGGCUGUAUUUUUUCAAACAAAAUAUAUUUUAAGUUUACACAAAAUUUUAACAGCCUUUGGCGGACUCGGUUAGAUGCCCUGCGCAAGGUAUCACCGAGUAUGAGUUUUUGGCACAAGCCAAAUUUUAAGAAAUUCAUAAGCCAAGUUGAUUACUCGAUUUUUAUGGAUUGAUUUUAUUUGGUUGAAAUGAGUUGAAUGGUAAUGAAAUUACAGUAUGAUGAUUUAUUUUAAUUGUCUCCAUUUACUCGACUUUAGAUAGUUUAGAUGGUAUCUGUUUACUCACUGGGAUUUUAUAAUCUCACCACCCUCAUUUCCUCACAUUUCAGGCUCAGGGAAUUCCGUAGUUAGCUGACUUGAACAAGGACCUUCAUUUGGACUCGAAUCGGUAAAAGCUGUAGGUUUCCAGCUUCCGAUGCAUUUUGGAUAGAUAUGGGCCCACGUGUCACUGUAAAAGAAAUUUUAUGCUUUGGUUAUUUGCUUUAUAGUAUAUAUGAAUAUAAUUAUCUUUU
This 1136-nucleotide long non-coding RNA is filed under the name Theobroma cacao (cacao). Its description in RNAcentral is "long non-coding RNA (TCAC_LNC001189)". Lineage: Eukaryota; Viridiplantae; Streptophyta; Magnoliopsida; Malvales; Malvaceae. The record is from RNAcentral.